GCUCGGGUGGCGGAAUUGGUAGACGCGCUAGAUUCAGGUUCUAGUGUCUUAACGGACGUGCGGGUUCAAGUCCCGCCUCGAGCACCA
This 87-nucleotide transfer RNA is filed under the name Puniceicoccus vermicola. RNAcentral's name for it is "tRNA-Leu". It matches the Rfam family "tRNA". From Rfam's summary of the family: Transfer RNA (tRNA) molecules are approximately 80 nucleotides in length. Their secondary structure includes four short double-helical elements and three loops (D, anti-codon, and T loops). Lineage: Bacteria; Pseudomonadati; Verrucomicrobiota; Opitutia; Puniceicoccales; Puniceicoccaceae. The record is from RNAcentral.